This 253-nucleotide ribosomal RNA is filed under the name uncultured bacterium. Its description in RNAcentral is "partial 16S ribosomal RNA". It matches the Rfam family "Bacterial small subunit ribosomal RNA", at positions 524 to 776 of the family's 1533-position model. The record is from RNAcentral.
UACGUAGGGGGCUAGCGUUGUCCGGAUUCAUUGGGCGUAAAGAGCGUGUAGGCGGCCAAGCAGGUCCGCUGUGAAAACUCGAGGCUCAACCUCGAGACGUCGGUGGAAACCGUUUGGCUAGAGUCCGGAAGAGGAGAGUGGAAUUCCCGGUGUAGCGGUGAAAUGCGCAGAUAUCGGGAAGAACACCCGUGGCGAAGGCGGCUCUCUGGGACGGUACUGACGCUGAGACGCGAAAGCGUGGGGAGCGAACAGG